This 305-nucleotide ribosomal RNA is filed under the name uncultured bacterium. RNAcentral describes it as "bacterial SSU rRNA". It matches the Rfam family "Bacterial small subunit ribosomal RNA", at positions 337 to 640 of the family's 1533-position model. The record is from RNAcentral.
UCCUACGGGGGGCAGCAGUGAGGAAUAUUGGUCAAUGGGCGAGAGCCUGAACCAGCCAAGUCGCGUGAGGGAAGACGGUCCUAUGGAUUGUAAACCUCUUUUGCCGGGGAGCAAAAAGCGGUACGUGUACCGCAUCGAGAGUACCCGGAGAAAAAGCAUCGGCUAACUCCGUGCCAGCAGCCGCGGUAAUAUGGAGGAUGCGCGCGUUAUCCGGAUUUAUUGGGCUUAAAGGGUGCGCAGGCGGCGAGUUAAGUCAGCGGUAAAAUUUCGGGGCUCAACCCCGCCGAGCCGUUGAAACUGGCUUG